UUCCGGUUGAUCCUGCCGGACCUGACUGCUAUCGGAUUGAUACUAAGCCAUGCGAGUCAUUGUAGUAAUACAAGGCAGACGGCUCAGUAACGCGUAGUCAACCUAACCUAUGGACGGGAAUAACCUCGGGAAACUGAGUAUAAUGCCCGAUAGAACAUUAUACCUGGAAUGGUUUAUGUUCCAAAUGAUUUAUCGCCGUAGGAUGGGACUGCGGCCUAUCAGUUUGUUGGUGAGGUAAUGGCCCACCAAGACUAUUACAGGUACGGGCUCUGAGAGGAGUAGCCCGGAGAUGGGUACUGAGACACGGACCCAGGCCCUAUGGGGCGCAGCAGGCGAGAAAACUUUGCAAUGUGCGAAAGCACGACAAGGUUAAUCCGAGUGGUUUCUGCUAAAGAAACCUUUUGUUAGUCCUAGAAACACUAACGAAUAAGGGGUGGGCAAGUUCUGGUGUCAGCCGCCGCGGUAAAACCAGCACCUCAAGUGGUCAGGAUGAUUAUUGGGCCUAAAGCAUCCGUAGCCGGCUCUGUAAGUUUUCGGUUAAAUCUGUACGCUCAACGUACAGGCUGCCGGAAAUACUGCAGAGCUAGGGAGUGGGAGAGGUAGACGGUACUCGGGAGGAAGGGGUAAAAUCCUUUGAUCUUUCGAUGACCACCUGUGGCGAAGGCGGUCUACCAGAACACGUCCGACGGUGAGGGAUGAAAGCUGGGGGAGCAAACCGGAUUAGAUACCCGGGUAGUCCCAGCUGUAAACUAUGCAAACUCAGUGAUGCAUUGACUUGUGGUCAAUGCAGUGCUGCAGGGAAGCCGUUAAGUUUGCCGCCUGGGAAGUACGUACGCAAGUAUGAAACUUAAAGGAAUUGGCGGGGGAGCACCACAAGGGGUGAAGCCUGCGGGUUCAAUUGGAUUCAACGCCGGA
RNAcentral lists this ribosomal RNA (915 nucleotides) under uncultured archaeon. RNAcentral's name for it is "bacterial SSU rRNA". It matches the Rfam family "Archaeal small subunit ribosomal RNA", at positions 1 to 922 of the family's 1478-position model. The record is from RNAcentral.